Molecule: ribosomal RNA, 497 nt
Filed under: uncultured bacterium
Lineage: Bacteria
Description: partial 16S ribosomal RNA
Rfam family: Bacterial small subunit ribosomal RNA
Source: RNAcentral
GAUGAACGCUGGCGGCGUGCCUAAUACAUGCAAGUCGAGCGAACGGACGAGAAGCUUGCUUCUCUGAUGUUAGCGGCGGACGGGUGAGUAACACGUGGAUAACCUACCUAUAAGACUGGGAUAACUUCGGGAAACCGGAGCUAAUACCGGAUAAUAUUUUGAACCGCAUGGUUCAAAAGUGAAAGACGGUCUUGCUGUCACUUAUAGAUGGAUCCGCGCUGCAUUAGCUAGUUGGUAAGGUAACGGCUUACCAAGGCAACGAUGCAUAGCCGACCUGAGAGGGUGAUCGGCCACCCUGGAACUGAGACACGGUCCAGACUCCUACGGGAGGCAGCAGAAGGGAAUCUUACGCAAUGGGCGAAAGCCUGACGGAGCAACGCCGCGUGAGUGGUGAAGGUCUUCGGAUCGUAAAACUCUGUUAUUAGGGAAGAACAUAUGUGUAAGUAACUGUGCACAUCUUGACGGUACCUAAUCAGAAAGCCACGGCUAACUACGUG